UGCGGCUGGAUCACCUCCUUUCUAAGGAAGCUGUGGAAUUGGUAAGACGAUCGGCUCAUGUCUUCGGAUGUGCCCGAUAUGAACCUUCCCGUGCUUUUUAGAACAUAGAUGGCACCAGUCAGGUGACCAUCGAAACGCAAUACGCCACGGAAAUGCCUUAGGCAUUCGGAUGGUAUGGCGAGCCUCGCCGUCCACGUUUCUCUUUCUUCAAGAAGACAAAGAACCGCGUCGACCGGUUCCCGAAUGGGCCCGUAGCUCAGUUGGUUAGAGCACACGCUUGAUAAGCGUGGGGUCGGAAGUUCAAGUCUUCCCGGGCCCACCAUUUGCAUUUGCGAAUGAGGGUUGGGAAUGAUGGAAUGGCAGGCGAUGCGGAUUGUUGCCGAACCCUGGUUUAAGAUCGGGGCGAUCGAGCUGAUGGGGCUGUAGCUCAGCUGGGAGAGCACCUGCUUUGCAAGCAGGGGGUCAGCGGUUCGAUCCCGCUCAGCUCCACCAAAUCGAUUGGUGUCGAGACUGACGGUAAUUGUCUUCUGAAGAAAUAAAGGGUUUGCAUCGGCUUUGAGCCUGAUGCCUGUUCUGCAUACAUUGUGAAGAGAAGAUUGAUCUGGAGGCUUCCAGGUGUUUUGGGCAACCGUAAGGUUGUUUGAAGCGUCCGAGCCCGGACCUUAUGAUAUCGUGGAUGGCCUAGCCGGCUGGAAACGAAGGAGGGGACCGAGGUAGGAAGGAAGCUUGUCGCUCUGGAUUGUCAUUGUUGGUCCUCUUUGAGGACUUCUGAUGAACAAUCGGAUACGUUGCCURCCCGCCGCGGUAUCGGAUCCAAUCUCGAGAAGCUGGUCUUAAGAUAGACUGCAAGCGAGCUGCUCGGCGUAGCUCCAAUAAAGCAAGUCUAUCGAACACGUCGAUGGCAUCUGAUUGGCGCGAUUGUAAAAGGUAAUCGCGCUUUGGACUGACCGUAUGGUCAGAUUUGGCACCCCUUUGAGCGCAAGCGAGAAGGAAAGGUUUGCCAAAUCCAAUAAGGAUGAGCAUUGGCAAUGAGAACGAUCAAGUGUCGUAAGGGUAUUUAGU
Molecule: transfer RNA, 1062 nt
Filed under: Martinezella hainanensis
Lineage: Bacteria; Pseudomonadati; Pseudomonadota; Alphaproteobacteria; Hyphomicrobiales; Rhizobiaceae
Description: Rhizobium hainanense 16S-23S ribosomal RNA intergenic spacer
Rfam family: tRNA (bases 246-319)
Source: RNAcentral